RNAcentral lists this long non-coding RNA (397 nucleotides) under Brassica napus (rape). RNAcentral describes it as "long non-coding RNA (BNAP_LNC022144)". Lineage: Eukaryota; Viridiplantae; Streptophyta; Magnoliopsida; Brassicales; Brassicaceae. The record is from RNAcentral.
AGAGCAAGAGGGAGGGCAGGUGUUGAAUCUUUGAGCAGAUGAAAGGCUUAGUAUUCCUAGUACAAUAUAUUUUUCUUUUCAAAAAUGUAUGUAUGCGGUGUUGUAGCAUUUUGGAUCAGUUACUGAAAAAUUUAACUUGUGUAGGGAGGUUUAUGGCCAAACUUUCUUGUAACCGUAUAUGAACACUUUCAAGAAUGUAAAAUGUUUUCUGAAAACAGUGACCUAAGAGUUUAGCGAGGUGUCAGAUUAUUUUGGUUUGUCAAAAACUUUUGUAACCGUUAAUGUAAUAUAUAACCUUCAAUGAAUUAUGUAACCAUUUUUCAAAUUUGUCGGUUACAGAAAAGUUUAGCUUGUUUUGGGGAGGUCUUGUGGCUAAACUUUCUUGUAACCAUAUAUG